GUUGCAGUUAAAAAGCUCGUAGUUGGAUUUCUGGUACGCCAGCGCUGACCCUGUUCCAAUACGGAUAUGUGUGUCGGAUUUUGGCUGCCAUCCUUCCAGAGAACUCGUUCUACCCUUCACUGGGCCGGGACAGCGAUCUGGAACUUUUACUUUGAAAAAAUUAGAGUGUUCAAAGCAGGCUUGCGCUAUGAAUACAUUAGCAUGGAAUAAUAAUCUAGGACUCCGGUUCUAUUUUAUUGGUUUCUAGAACUGGUUUAAUGAUUGAUAGGGAUAGUUGGGGGUGCUAGUAUUCAGCGGCCAGAGGUGAAAUUCUUGGAUUCGCUGAAGACUAACUUAUGCGAAAGCAUUCACCAAGGAUGUCUUCUUUAAUCAAGAACGAAAGUUGGGGGAUCGAAGACGAUCAGAUACCGUCGUAGUCUCAACCAUAAACUAUACCGACUAAGGAUGAGUGAACGUUGCAUAUUCGACUUCAUUCGCACUUUAUGAGAAAUCAAAGUCUUUAGGUUCUGGGGGGAGUAUGGUCGC
RNAcentral lists this ribosomal RNA (525 nucleotides) under uncultured marine eukaryote. RNAcentral describes it as "bacterial SSU rRNA". It matches the Rfam family "Eukaryotic small subunit ribosomal RNA", at positions 612 to 1132 of the family's 1831-position model. The record is from RNAcentral.